GGCGGCAUGCCUCAUACAUGCAAGUCGAACGAGGUCUUCGGACCUAGUGGCGCACGGGUGAGUAACAUGUGGGAAUCUACCUGAAGGUUCGGAAUAACUGCGGGAAACUGUAGCUAAUACCGGAUGUGUCUGCAAAGAGAAAGAUUUAUCGCCUUCAGAUGAGCCCGCACUAGAUUAGCUAGUUGGUGAGGUAAUUGCUCCACCAAGGCUCCGAUCUAUAGCUGAUUUGAGAGGAUGAUCAGCCACACUGGGACUGAGACACGGCCCAGACUCCUACGGGAGGCAGCAGUAGGGAAUAUUGGACAAUGGGGGAAACCCUGAUCCAGCAAUGCCGCGUGAGUGAAGAAGGCCUUCGGGUUGUAAAGCUCUUUCAUCAAUGAUGAUAAUGACAUUAGUUGAAGAAGAAGCCCCGGCUAACUUCGUGCCAGCAGCCGCGGUAAUACGAAGGGGGCUAGCGUUGUUCGGAAUCACUGGGCGUAAAGCGUAUGUAGGCGGAUCAAAAAGUUAGAUGUGAAAUCCCUGGGCUCAACCCAGGAACUGCAUUUAAAACUAGUGAUCUAGAAUUUGGUAGGGGCCAGUAGAAUUUCCAGUGUAGAGGUGAAAUUCGUAGAUAUUGGAAAGAAUACCAGUGGCGAAGGCGACUGGCUGGGCCAUUUUUGACGCUGAGAUACGAAAGCGUGGGUAGCAAACAGGAUUAGAUACCCUGGUAGUCCACGCAGUAAACGAUGAGUGCUAGUCGCUGGGACAAUAGUUUCAGUGUCGAAGCUAACGCAUUAAGCACUCCGCCUGGGAAGUACGGU
This 800-nucleotide ribosomal RNA is filed under the name uncultured Alphaproteobacteria bacterium. RNAcentral's name for it is "bacterial SSU rRNA". It matches the Rfam family "Bacterial small subunit ribosomal RNA", at positions 38 to 886 of the family's 1533-position model. The record is from RNAcentral. Lineage: Bacteria; Pseudomonadati; Pseudomonadota; Alphaproteobacteria.